GUGGGGAAUAUUGGACAAUGGGCGAAAGCCUGAUCCAGCCAUGCCGCGUGUGUGAAGAAGGUCUUCGGAUUGUAAAGCACUUUAAGUUGGGAGGAAGGGCAGUAAGUUAAUACCUUGCUGUUUUGACGUUACCGACAGAAUAAGCACCGGCUAACUUCGUGCCAGCAGCCGCGGUAAUACGAAGGGUGCAAGCGUUAAUCGGAAUUACUGGGCGUAAAGCGCGCGUAGGUGGUUUUGUAAGGUGGAGGUGAAAUCCCCGGGCUCAACCUGGGAACUGCCUCCAAAACUGCAUGACUAGAGUACGGUAGAGGGUAGUGGAAUUUCCUGUGUAGCGGUGAAAUGCGUAGAUAUAGGAAGGAACACCAGUGGCGAAGGCGACUACCUGGACUGAUACUGACACUGAGGUGCGAAAGCGUGGGGAGCAAACAGGAUUAGAUACCCGUGUAGUCC
Molecule: ribosomal RNA, 450 nt
Filed under: uncultured bacterium
Lineage: Bacteria
Description: partial 16S ribosomal RNA
Rfam family: Bacterial small subunit ribosomal RNA
Source: RNAcentral